This 513-nucleotide ribosomal RNA is filed under the name Ceroplesini sp. IBE JGZ-3831. Its description in RNAcentral is "partial large subunit ribosomal RNA". It matches the Rfam family "Bacterial large subunit ribosomal RNA", at positions 1819 to 2603 of the family's 2925-position model. Lineage: Eukaryota; Metazoa; Arthropoda; Insecta; Coleoptera; Cerambycidae. The record is from RNAcentral.
GGCCUUUUGUUAAAAAUUUAAGGUCUAACCUGCUCGCUGAGUAUUUAAAGGGCCGCGGUAUUUUGACCGUGCUAAGGUAGCAUAAUCAUUAGUUUCUUAAUUAGAAGCUGGAAUGAAUGGUUGAAUGAGAAAAAAACUGUUUCUAUUUAAAUGCUAUUGAAUUUUAUUUUUAAGUAAAAAAGCUUAAAUAAUUUUAGAAGACGAGAAGACCCUAUAGAGUUUAAUAAAAUAUGAUUAGUAUUGAUUUUAGGAAUUUUAAAUUUAAUAGUUAAUUUUAUUUGGUUGGGGUGAUUAAAAAAUUAAAUAAACUUUUUUUGAAUUGACACAUUAAUUUAUGAAUAAUUGAUCCAUUAUUAAUGAUUAUAAGAUUAAAUUACCUUAGGGAUAACAGCGUUAUUUUAUUGGAGAGUUCAAAUCGAUAAUAAAGUUUGCGACCUCGAUGUUGGAUUAAAAUUUACUUUUGGUGUAGAGGCUAAAAAGUUAGGUCUGUUCGACCUUUAAAAUUUUACAUGA